Molecule: ribosomal RNA, 718 nt
Filed under: uncultured bacterium
Lineage: Bacteria
Description: bacterial SSU rRNA
Rfam family: Bacterial small subunit ribosomal RNA
Source: RNAcentral
GCCUAACACAUGCAAGUCGAGCGGUAGAGAGAAGCUUGCUUCUCUUGAGAGCGGCGGACGGGUGAGUAAUACCUAGGAAUCUGCCUGAUAGUGGGGGAUAACGUUCGGAAACGGACGCUAAUACCGCAUACGUCCUACGGGAGAAAGCAGGGGACCUUCGGGCCUUGCGCUAUCAGAUGAGCCUAGGUCGGAUUAGCUAGUUGGUGAGGUAAUGGCUCACCAAGGCUACGAUCCGUAACUGGUCUGAGAGGAUGAUCAGUCACACUGGAACUGAGACACGGUCCAGACUCCUACGGGAGGCAGCAGUGGGGAAUAUUGGACAAUGGGCGAAAGCCUGAUCCAGCCAUGCCGCGUGUGUGAAGAAGGUCUUCGGAUUGUAAAGCACUUUAAGUUGGGAGGAAGGGCAGUUACCUAAUACGUGAUUGUCUUGACGUUACCGACAGAAUAAGCACCGGCUAACUCUGUGCCAGCAGCCGCGGUAAUACAGAGGGUGCAAGCGUUAAUCGGAAUUACUGGGCGUAAAGCGCGCGUAGGUGGUUUGUUAAGUUGAAUGUGAAAUCCCCGGGCUCAACCUGGGAACUGCAUCCAAAACUGGCAAGCUAGAGUAUGGUAGAGGGUAGUGGAAUUUCCUGUGUAGCGGUGAAAUGCGUAGAUAUAGGAAGGAACACCAGUGGCGAGGGCGACUACCUGGACUGAUACUGACACUGAGGUGCGAAAG